AAAAACGACCGGCCGAGUCGCCACAGUUCCGAAAUUCCGGGCGUGGCGUACGGGGGAACCAAAUGUGUGGGGUGAAAUGACCCGGUGGUCAUCGGGCGACCUUUCGACCGAACCCGGCAGCUAACCCCGGAGGCCGCCGAAAGGAGAGAG
Molecule: non-coding RNA, 150 nt
Organism: Kyrpidia tusciae DSM 2912
Lineage: Bacteria; Bacillati; Bacillota; Bacilli; Caryophanales; Alicyclobacillaceae
Source: Rfam